GAUGAACGCUGGCGGCGUGCCUAAUACAUGCAAGUAGAACGCUGAAGGAGGAGCUUGCUCUUCUGGAUGAGUUGCGAACGGGUGAGUAACGCGUAGGUAACCUGCCUGGUAGCGGGGGAUAACUAUUGGAAACGAUAGCUAAUACCGCAUGACAACAGUUAUUGCAUGAUAACUGUUUAAAAGGGGCAACUGCUCCACUACCAGAUGGACCUGCGUUGUAUUAGCUAGUUGGUGAGGUAACGGCUCACCAAGGCGACGAUACAUAGCCGACCUGAGAGGGUGAUCGGCCACGCUGGGACUGAGACACGGCCCAGACUCCUACGGGAGGCAGCAGUAGGGAAUCUUCGGCAAUGGACGGAAGUCUGACCGAGCAACGCCGCGUGAGUGAAGAAGGGUGUCGGAUCGUAAAGCUCUGUUGUAAGAGAAGAACGAGUGUGAGAGUGGAAAGUUCACACUGUGACGGUAUCUUACCAGAAAGGGACGGCUAACUACGUG
RNAcentral lists this ribosomal RNA (495 nucleotides) under uncultured bacterium. RNAcentral's name for it is "partial 16S ribosomal RNA". It matches the Rfam family "Bacterial small subunit ribosomal RNA", at positions 28 to 507 of the family's 1533-position model. The record is from RNAcentral.